This 87-nucleotide transfer RNA is filed under the name Bommeria hispida. RNAcentral's name for it is "tRNA-Ser". It matches the Rfam family "tRNA". Rfam says of the family: Transfer RNA (tRNA) molecules are approximately 80 nucleotides in length. The record is from RNAcentral. Lineage: Eukaryota; Viridiplantae; Streptophyta; Polypodiopsida; Polypodiales; Pteridaceae.
GGAAGGGUGGCCGAGUGGUUUAAGGCGUAGCAUCGGAAAUGCUAUGUAGAUUCUUAUCUACCGAGGGUUCGAAUCCCUCCCUUUCCU